CGAAUUAUGGGCAGAUCAGUCGAGAGUCUGAGACGCGAAGCUAGAGCGCCUGUAACAUGGCAGUAAGCCGCUACGU
This 76-nucleotide non-coding RNA is filed under the name Eubacterium sp. Lineage: Bacteria; Bacillati; Bacillota; Clostridia; Eubacteriales; Eubacteriaceae. The record is from RNAcentral. RNAcentral also lists the same sequence under 1 other name.